CCUUCGGGAUCUGUGAGACAGGUGCUGCAUGGCUGUCGUCAGCUCGUGUUGUGAAAUGUUGGGUUAAGUCCCGCAACGAGCGCAACCCUUAUCCUUUCUUGCCAGCGAUUCGGUCGGGAACUCAAAGGAGACUGCCGGUGAUAAACCGGAGGAAGGUGGCGAUGACGUCAAGUCAUCAUGGCGCUUACGAGUAGGGCUACACACGUGCUACAAUGGCGUAUACAAAGAGAAGCGACCUCGCGAGAGCAAGCGGACCUCAUAAAGUACGUCGUAGUCCGGAUUGGAGUCUGCAACUCGACUCCAUGAAGUCGGAAUCGCUAGUAAUCGUAGAUCAGAAUGCUACGGUGAAUACGUUCCCGGGCCUUGUACACACCGCCCGUCACACCAUGGGAGUGGG
RNAcentral lists this ribosomal RNA (397 nucleotides) under uncultured Pectobacterium sp. RNAcentral describes it as "bacterial SSU rRNA". It matches the Rfam family "Bacterial small subunit ribosomal RNA", at positions 1017 to 1414 of the family's 1533-position model. Lineage: Bacteria; Pseudomonadati; Pseudomonadota; Gammaproteobacteria; Enterobacterales; Pectobacteriaceae. The record is from RNAcentral.